GGCGGUAUAGCUCAGUUGGUUAGAGCAGCGGAAUCAUAAUCCGAAGGUCGUUGGUUCGAAUCCGACUACCGCUA
Molecule: transfer RNA, 74 nt
Filed under: Chlamydiales bacterium
Lineage: Bacteria; Pseudomonadati; Chlamydiota; Chlamydiia; Chlamydiales
Description: tRNA-Met
Rfam family: tRNA
About the family: Transfer RNA (tRNA) molecules are approximately 80 nucleotides in length. Their secondary structure includes four short double-helical elements and three loops (D, anti-codon, and T loops).
Source: RNAcentral